Molecule: non-coding RNA, 26 nt
Filed under: Mus musculus (house mouse)
Lineage: Eukaryota; Metazoa; Chordata; Mammalia; Rodentia; Muridae
Source: RNAcentral
GGAUACUCUAUUGAACCCUCUUUGCC